GGGCUACACACGUGCUACAAUGGCGGUGACAGUGGGAAGCUAGGUGGUGACACCAUGCUGAUCUCUAAAAGCCGUCUCAGUUCGGAUUGCACUCUGCAACUCGAGUGCAUGAAGGUGGAAUCGCUAGUAAUCCGGAUCAGCAUGCCGCGGUGAA
RNAcentral lists this ribosomal RNA (154 nucleotides) under Acetobacter pasteurianus. Its description in RNAcentral is "partial 16S rRNA". It matches the Rfam family "Bacterial small subunit ribosomal RNA", at positions 1211 to 1366 of the family's 1533-position model. The record is from RNAcentral. Lineage: Bacteria; Pseudomonadati; Pseudomonadota; Alphaproteobacteria; Acetobacterales; Acetobacteraceae.